Molecule: ribosomal RNA, 835 nt
Filed under: uncultured bacterium
Lineage: Bacteria
Description: bacterial SSU rRNA
Rfam family: Bacterial small subunit ribosomal RNA
Source: RNAcentral
GAGGGAGGGAGAGCUUGCUUUCUCGAGCGAGUGGCGAACGGGUGAGUAACGCGUGAGGAACCUGCCUCAAAGAGGGGGACAACAGUUGGAAACGACUGCUAAUACGGCAUAAGCCCACGGUGCCGCAUGGCACAGAGGGAAAAGGAGCAAUCCGCUUUGAGAUGGCCUCGCGUCCGAUUAGCUAGUUGGUGAGGUAACGGCCCACCAAGGCGACGAUCGGUAGCCGGACUGAGAGGUUGAACGGCCACAUUGGGACUGAGACACGGCCCAGACUCCUACGGGAGGCAGCAGUGGGGAAUAUUGCACAAUGGGGGAAACCCUGAUGCAGCGACGCCGCGUGGAGGAAGAAGGUCUUCGGAUUGUAAACUCCUGUUGUUGAGGAAGAUAAUGACGGUACUCAACAAGGUAGUGACGGCUAACUACGUGCCAGCAGCCGCGGUAAAACGUAGGUCACAAGCGUUGUCCGGAAUUACUGGGUGUAAAGGGAGCGCAGGCGGGAAGACAAGGUGGAAGUGAAAUCCAUGGGCUCAACCCAUGAACUGCUUUCAAAACUGUUUUUCUUGAGUAGUGCAGAGGUAGGCGGAAUUCCCGGUGUAGCGGUGGAAUGCGUAGAUAUCGGGAGGAACACCAGUGGCGAAGGCGGCCUACUGGGCACCAACUGACGCUGAGGCUCGAAAGUGUGGGUAGCAAACAGGAUUAGAUACCCUGGUAGUCCACACUGUAAACGAUGAUUACUAGGUGUUGGAGGAUUGACCCCUUCAGUGCCGCAGUUAACACAAUAAGUAAUCCACCUGGGGAGUACGACCGCAAGGUUGCAACUCAAAGGAAUUGACGG